AUUGAACGCUGGCGGCAUGCUUUACACAUGCAAGUCGAACGGUAACAGCACUUCGGUGGCUGACGAGUGGCGAACGGGUGAGUAAUACAUCGGAACGUGCCUAGUAGUGGGGGAUAACUACUCGAAAGAGUAGCUAAUACCGCAUGAGAUCUAAGGAUGAAAGCAGGGGACCUUCGGGCCUUGCGCUACUAGAGCGGCUGAUGGCAGAUUAGGUAGUUGGUGGGAUAAAAGCUUACCAAGCCGACGAUCUGUAGCUGGUCUGAGAGGACGACCAGCCACACUGGGACUGAGACACGGCCCAGACUCCUACGGGAGGCAGCAGUGGGGAAUUUUGGACAAUGGGCGCAAGCCUGAUCCAGCAAUGCCGCGUGCAGGAUGAAGGCCUUCGGAUUGUAAACUGCUUUUGUACGGAACGAAAAGCCCUCUUCUAAUACAGGAGGGUCAUGACGGUACCGUAAGAAUAAGCACCGGCUAACUACGUG
Molecule: ribosomal RNA, 482 nt
Filed under: uncultured bacterium
Lineage: Bacteria
Description: partial 16S ribosomal RNA
Rfam family: Bacterial small subunit ribosomal RNA
Source: RNAcentral